GAUGAAGAACGCAGCGAAAUGCGAUACUUGGUGUGAAUUGCAGAAUCCCGUGAACCAUCGAGUCUUUGAACGCAAGUUGCGCCCGAAGCCAUUUGGUUGAGGGCACGUCUGCUUGGGCGUCACAUAUCGUUGCCCGAUGCGUAUUGCACUGUGAUAGGAAAUUCUAGGGCGAAAGAUGGCUUCCCGUGAGCGUUGUUGCCUCGCGGUUGGUUGAAAAUCGAGUCCUUGGUAGGGUGUGCCAUGAUAGAUGGUGGUCGAGUUUGCACGAGACCGAUCAUGUGUGCGCUCCCCAAAAUAUGGACUCUUUGACCCCACACGCGUCUUUUGACGCUCAUGACGAGACCUCAGGUCAGGCGGGGCUACCCGCUGAGUUUAAGCAUAUCAAUAAGCGGAGGA
RNAcentral lists this unclassified non-coding RNA (396 nucleotides) under soil metagenome. RNAcentral describes it as "partial contains 5.8S ribosomal RNA, internal transcribed spacer 2, and large subunit ribosomal RNA". The stretch from base 1 to 122 matches the Rfam family "5.8S ribosomal RNA", at positions 35 to 154 of the family's 154-position model. The record is from RNAcentral.